Molecule: ribosomal RNA, 309 nt
Filed under: Triticum aestivum (bread wheat)
Lineage: Eukaryota; Viridiplantae; Streptophyta; Magnoliopsida; Poales; Poaceae
Description: partial small subunit ribosomal RNA
Source: RNAcentral
AUGGCGCUGAUGACAAGGCGGGCGGCGACGCCAGCUCUCGUCCCGAGGAAGCCGCAGGAGGACGAGUACAAGCCAGACCAGGUCGACGUGCCCCCCUGCCACAACUCCUUCUCCUGCGGGUUGGUUGCUGCUGUUGCUGGUGCCGUUCGUGUCCGAUUCGAUUGGCCUGCCGUUUGCGGGAGGCUGCAAGAUUUGUUGGAACCAAUUUUGAGAAGACUGAAUCUACCACGUAUCCAAAUGGAGCGGCUGCAAUCGUUAUAUACCCAGAAUGAUGCUUUUAUAUGUCUGAAUUUUCACAAGUAUUGCUAA